This 739-nucleotide long non-coding RNA is filed under the name Capra hircus (goat). RNAcentral's name for it is "lncRNA (ENSCHIG00000007321.1)". Lineage: Eukaryota; Metazoa; Chordata; Mammalia; Artiodactyla; Bovidae. The record is from RNAcentral.
CACUAAAUUACAUCCCACCAACUUAAGCUUCCCUGGAGUGACUCACACAGUGGUUGACUUUUAAAGUUCAUUGAAGGUGAGGGUUCAGGCUAUACAAGGUCAGAGUUUCUCCAUGAAGCAGGACAAACAAAAAUUCAUAAUGCCAGGCUGUUUGACAUUCUUUCUAAAAGGAGAAGGCCACUGGUUUUUCCCUCCCCUAACUCUUUCCUGGAAAAAAAGUAUAGGAAUUAUCCCCAGUGGUGUUGGAAGACAGAAUUUCUGGUGCCUUACUUGUUGCCAGAUAUAAAGAUAGAAAAUUCAUUACUGAUAUAUACUGGAUCACCAGAAGACUGGAUGGUGGCAGGCUGUGAAUCAAAGAAGGCAGGAGGUGAAAUUAUCCGGGGAACCCUAGAAUGACAUAGUGAAGAAAAACCAGAAAAUGAGCAGUGUGGAUCCCACUGCCAAUCUCAGUGCAAGCCUCUGGAAUGAAAUGAAGAAGAAGGCGAUGAAGAUGACUUUUAAUGAAUCAUGUCAGAGUAAUAUCCAAACAGAUGGUGGCUCUCUCCAGGGAUUUUUCUCCUCUGGAAGGAUGCCAUGGAGAUGUCCCUCAGAGUAUUCUUGAAUGGCACAUGUUGAAGACAGAAACCAUCUGCUUUGGGAUUCCUAAAUGAUGGCAUGGAAUACAGUUGAUCUGUGUAACUGUUAGCUGACUUCAGAAUAUUGUGUGAGCAAGAAGUAAACUUACAAUCCUUUUGUGCCA